Molecule: long non-coding RNA, 281 nt
Filed under: Glycine max (soybean)
Lineage: Eukaryota; Viridiplantae; Streptophyta; Magnoliopsida; Fabales; Fabaceae
Description: long non-coding RNA (GMAX_LNC000255)
Source: RNAcentral
AAGGUUAUUUCUUGGCCACAUUGUCAUUUGGAUCUAAAUUGAAGAUCACUGAGUGCAAGGCAUACUUGGAGACUUCUCCAUUGGAAACAUGUAAAGUUCCCACCGAUGUCAACUACGGGAUCAGUGGUGCUCGCCUCUCUUCUUAUCGCCUCCUUCAAAAUAACAUCAAAUUGUACUCUGUGGGGCCUUUCUUCUGCACCUCCCAACCACUCCCUAACGGUUAUUAAUGAAGAGCACCUUCUCUAUGGCGUUCGUUGAAAUGGCUGCAAAGUGAAAAUGAU